CGAGAACACGACGCAGUGCCUUUGUCACUGGGUGACGUCCAGUGACGCCUUCAUAGAGGCGGCGAAAGAAGUACAGUCGAGAGAGAGUCCGCGCUUCCGACGACGAUGCUGCGGUGGUCGCGCCUGCUUCGGGAAAUGGCCCCGGAGCUGCAGCUGGAAUACAUCCCGGUCAUCUUCACCCGCACAAUUCUCGGUCCGCAGGGAGGCUUUGCCGGCGAGGAGCGUCUGAUCAAGCGCGAGGUGGCACAGAAGUACAUGUCCGAGGGGAACGCAGUGACGCCGAACGCGGAGUUCCGUCAAGGUGUGUGGUGCUACAACCCCGACUCGGAGCAGUACGACCGCUUCGUUGAGCGAAACGCAGAGUUUCUCGACUUUGCAGCCCGCAAGCGGCAGUGGCUCGACGUGUACUGGCGCGUAAACACGGGCUACCUGCUCUUCGGCCGCCAGAGCUGGGGCCAAGGGUGGCUACUGAACUGCCCUCUGCGCAAGAAGGAUGUCGCACAGAAGCUGUGGGAGCAGUACAAGGUGCGUGUCGAUCCGAGACUCAUUGAGUUCAGGGAGAAGGAUCGGCGAACAGGCAUUCAAGACUUAGGCCACAACUGGUGCUGGCUGUACUUGCCAGGAGCCGAAGAGCUGGCGAUCGACCGCGAAGUUUACGACAACAAACGCGUCAAGGUGCGUAUGCACAUUCGUAAGAUGAGUAGUUAUGGUGCGCUUUACUGAGGAGAAACAUGGGCGACGCACACGUGUGGUUGCUCUUGUGUUUGGUGGUGGUGUGCGAACUUGAAGGGCAUGCCACCUUCCCCCUUUUCUUCUCCCCUCUGUGUUUGUGUGCGGUGAGGUGGCGGAGGCGACGCUCUUUACACGUCUUAAGACGAAAAGAAACGCAGGUGCGUGUUUGUGAAGGUGCUGCUUUGACGUGCACUUGAAUCCGGAUGACGCGGCUGGGUGCACACACUGCACACGCACAAACGGAUUGAGUCACGCACGACGAGGUGAGGUAGAGAUGCAGGUGCGAACCGGGAGAACAUCGCGCACACUGACCGUGGCGCAUGCAUUCGGAAUCACAGAGAGCACGUGGCUCCACUCCUCGCCGCAGCCUCUGCCUUUGCUCUCCCGUUUUUCGUUGCGAUGCGCUUAGCAGCGCAUGCAUGUUUUCCCCCUUAAUGGCGUUUUCGGCUUCUGACCUGGCGACGCAUCGUGCUGGCUGCGCAGGCUAUCACACUCGACUCC
RNAcentral lists this unclassified non-coding RNA (1233 nucleotides) under Leishmania donovani. Its description in RNAcentral is "gene:LdHU3.30.3750(CDS-product:hypothetical_prote in_conserved)". The record is from RNAcentral. Lineage: Eukaryota; Euglenozoa; Kinetoplastea; Trypanosomatida; Trypanosomatidae.